ACUGCAUCCUAGUAGAACGCUAUUGAUUUUUUUUUUUCGAUUGGACGUUUGGUUACCGAGAUAUCUCUCGAAGAGUUGACCAAGUGUAUCAUAAUAAAUAUUUCGGCCGUUUGUCAAUCGAUUUGGGUUCUCUUGGCACCAAAUGAAAGCUACAGCAUCCUAGUAGAUCGCCCAUAAAUUUUAUUUCGAUUGGACAUUUGGUUACAGAGAUAUCUUUCAAAGAGUACUUAUGAUUUAUACAACUAAACCUUUUGAGAUUUUUGACCAAUUCUAUCAUAAUAAAUAUCUCAGCCGUCUGUCAACCAAUUUCGGUUCUCCUGGCGCCAAAUGAAAGCUACAACAUUCUAGUAGAACCGUAUACAAUUUCAUUAGAAUUGCACAUUUGGUUACCGAGAUAUCUUUCAAAGAGUACUUGGGAGUAAUACCGGUUAACUUUUUGAGAAAUUUUUGACCAAGGGCACCAUAAUAAAUAUCUCAGCCGUCUGUCAACCGAUUUGGGUUCUCUAAGCACCAAAUGAAAGCUACAAUAUCCUUGUGAAAGGCCCUGAAAUUUUAUUUCGAUUCGACAUUUGAUUACUGAUAUAUCUUACGAAGAGUAGUUCAGUUUUAUGAAAACAAACAAUAUGUUAAAUAAAAGCUUUGAAUUUAUAUAUUGUGGAAAAAAUGCAAGAGCCGGACAGCCAAAAUAACUAGCUGAUGCCAAAACUGGUUAACUUAGUAGAUAUAUCAUUUUUGUCCUUUCUACACCAUAACCAUGAAUACCAAGUACUUCGGAGCUAAUUUAAUCGACUGACUAAGAGAUAUUAGACAAAGUGUAUCUAGCUGAUUUUCUUAUCCAUUUGUUAAUCGAUUCAAGAUCUUUUGGCAGUUAACAAAAGAUAUUCCCGAAUAUGUAAGCUAUUUUUUAAACAUGCCAUACAAAAUCCUAGGAGGUGUCUGGCAUUUCUGGUAGUUUAGUCCAUGGUCCAUGAUGCUAUUUUGGAAACCAAUCCACUAGAUGCCAAAUCCACAAUAUUUUCUAGCACUUUUGGUCAAUUACACAAAAUAAAUAUGUUAAAUACAAAUAAUACAACAAUAAUUUUUAUAAGUGUAAGAAGGGUUCUGUUCACCAUAGGUGGAUUAAAUCGGGUUUUUUAAUAUCCAGAUACAAAUUUGGUAAAAACCUAAACCUAAAUACUUUUUAAGUAUUUUCUAACCUAAGCCGUUUAAACUUUUUGGAUCCGUCAUGUAUGGGGGUCAUGUAUGACCCCCUCGGCCCCUAAAGGGUUAAAUGAGUUAAUUAAUGGAGUGUAUCUGUGAAUGGAUCAUGAUGUGAUUGGCCAUCACGAGUGAUUUUAGUGGAGGAUUUUUGCGUCGAACUUUGAACGAAAUGGUAAUCUGCUUGCGAAAAACAGACAAACGUCGGGGCCCGUAGCGAUGGUGCUACACGUUCACUUCAUAAGUGGAUGGUCAUGGGUUCGACUCCAGCGCCGGCCCCUGCAAUUUUUCGUUAGAUGCUCUUUCCCCCCGAGAGCAGCUGACACCUGAUCCUCUUCUGAGCAUAUGCUCUUACGGACCCGGAAAACUUGAAUAUAGUCUAACGGCAACUCAUAAUCGACCCCCAAUCAGACUUGAAAAAUAACAAGAGCCAAACAUCAACAUCUUCGUGCUCUUCAUUCUACCAUGGACAGGGUAGAAAAGUGACAGCAGCACAAAAGUUCGAGAAAGAAGAAUGAGAAUAGAAUACAUUUAGGCGCUGUACAAAGUGUAGGUGCAGCUACCAAUUGGAAUCGCUCAAGCAGUGCCCUAAUGGACAAAAGUGCUGUAAAUUAGGUUGAGUGGGUGAAGAAUGGGCUGCAAAACGGUGAGUCGAUAAGGAGAGCGUCCAACAUAGCUCUGGUCCUCACAAGUUCCAACCUCAUGCUUCCACGGGUCAAGCGAUGACAAUGACCGCCAGCUAAGAGUUGUGUGCUUAGCUGGUAGUGCAGUCUGAGCACUGUUGUUCUUCUGACUUCAGCUAGAUUGAGAAGGUACGACCCGAGCGUCUGUUCACCAAGGAGGUACGGCUCAAACAGCGUCUGUUCUGGCAUCCAGCGGCUGAGUAAGAAACGCUGUACCACACGCCCAGCUAGAUCCAAGGUGGUAGCCCCAUCAGCGUGGUCGUCCCAGUGUUGGUUGGCGAGACAGGAGUGUUGACGUAGGCCCAACAAGCCACCCAUAACAAUCCCCACCCCAUUGUGAAUAGCAUAGCAUAAGAGAAAAUACGACUCGAUACAAUCGACAAAGACCCACGCGACGAAAUAAGGACUACGAUUGGAAACAUGGAACAUGGAAUUGCAAGUCACUACAUCCCCGCAACUUCGACAUCGUGGCGUUGCAGGAACUUUGUUGGACUAGACAGAAAGUGUGGAAAAGCGGGCAUCGAGCGGCUACCUUCUACCAAAGCUGUGGCACCACCAAUGAACUGAGAACAGGAUUUAUAGUGUUGGGCAAGAUGCGACAACGUGUGAUCGGGUGGCAGCCGAUCAACGCAAGGAUGUGCAUGUUAAGAGUUAAGGGCCGUUUCUUCAACUACAGCAUCAUCAACGUCCACUGCCCACACGAAAGGAGACCUGAUGACGAGAAAGAAGCGUUCUACGCGCAGUUAGAGCUAACAUACGAUGGUUGCUCGCCGCGUGACGUGAAAAUCGUUGUUGGCGAGGGGAGGGAGGAAAUGUACAGACCGGUAAUCGGGCGAAACAGCCUGCACGCCGUAUCGAAUGAUAACGGCCAGCGAUGCGUAAACUUUGCAGCCUCCCGUGGUAUGGUAGUCCGAUGCACCUUCUUCCCCCGCAAAGAUAUCCACAAAGCCACCUGGAGGUCACCCGACCAUCAAACAGAAAACCAAAUCGAACACGUUCUAAUCGACGGUGGAUUCUUCUCGGAUAUAACCAAUGUCCGCACAUACCGCAGUGCGAAUAUAGGAUUCGGAUCACUACUUAGUAGCUGUAUGCAUGCGAUCAAAACUUUCGACAGUAAGACAGUAAUUACCACGCUUUGAAAUCGAACGCCGCGGCUCAACAUCGAGCGUAACGUAGAAGUAGCUCAUGACUGCGCGCAGCAGUUAGCAGUGGCCCUACCAACGGAAGAGCAGCUUGGCUCAGCUACACUUGAAGAUGGAUGGAAGGACAUCCGAUUCGUCAUAGGUACAUCAUAGGUACAUCACUAGGCUUAGGCUUCACCGGCUGUUCGGGUCCACAUGAAGUUAACCAUCAAUGUUUACUUCUUUUCCCGAUCAGCCUAGAUAGCUGUGUAGUGUCGGUAGCGGUUGUCUCAAUUGGCUAAGAAUAACACUACGGACCACCUGUUCCGGGGGUAAAAGUCCACUAAACAGGGAACCCCAAUCCAAGGUGUCAGGCGACCCGUGCUGAUGGAUGAAUGGUUGAGGGGGUUUAAAAUAUGCUCGAUCUUUAACGGAGCCCGUAACGUUGGUAGAUCGCCUUUAUGUGUUGCGUUACGGUUCAAGAUCGGUAAAAGGUUAUUGCGGCCAUAAUAAUUACAAAAUGCACCAUAGGAAAAUCAAAAUGCACCAUAAAUAAUUAAGCAAUGUACCGACAAAAUGCACAGCUUUCUCCAUAAAUAAAUAGAAAUGUUCCAUAAUAAAUUAAAAAUGUAGCGGUAAACCAAAAGAUUUUCUAGUUAAAAAUGAAACAUUGUAUCAAUAAAAAAUUAAAUAUAACACCAUAAACAAAUAAGUUUGCUCCAUAAAAAAUAAUAAAAAUAUCCAUAAAUAAUGAACAUUUGCUCCAUAACUAUACCAUAUUUGCUCCAUAAAAAAAUAAAAUUGCAUCAUAAAUAUCAUCAAAUUGCACCAUUAACAAACUAUAAAUUUUACCUCAAAGAAUGCAAAAUCUACAAAAACUAAUCAAAUUCUGCAUCAUUAGCAGUAUUUCAAUGGCUAGUAGCACUGGAAAUAUGUAAGUAUAUAGUAAUAUGUGGAAUUUAAAAGGCUAUAUUCUGCACCUUCUGCUUAAAUUAAAAAAAAAAUCAAAUCUGACUAUACAUGUCAAUGGUUGCUCCUCCGUGAUUGAUCUGAGCUGGUACCAAUUGCACUGGGAUCCAAAUGAAUAAGGGCUGGGACACUCCAUUUAUUCUAAAAGUGCAAUUUAAGCAGCUCAUACAUUCUUGAUCAAUAACGGCGCCGGCCACGUCCUUAUAGUCAGUUAGGAAGGGAAAGGAAUGUUCUAACAUUCUAGUGUGCUGGUUGUUGCUACUAAAGACCGGGAUCACCUCUGCAUCCCCACAACCAGCACGGAUGCGAUCCAUGAAUAGGGGUUAUUUUUAUAGUGUUCGUGAUAGAUUGUGUGGUGAAUAAGGUGAAUAAGGUCAAGCGGCACAGCACGCUUUGGUUGCAUAACUUGUAGGCGUUAUAUAUAUGGAUUCUUUUAAUACAUGCGGCGUAGCCUGUUGAUGCGUUGUAACUGUGUCGAUUCGGUUCUAGGUAAUCCACAAAUCCAGGAAUUUGCCCGGUAUAAUGCAAACAGAGAUGUUAUCCCGUGAGCGUUAGCGAGUUCGAACAGCAAGCGGUUAUCCGGUAAAUUGCAUUCAUAGUGUUUCCAUCUUUUAAGUCGUUCUAUCAUAGAUGUGUGCUUCGGUACAUGGUUUCUGUUUAUUUUCUUCUUACUUUUCAUAUUAACAUUAUCCCAUCCACAUCCUAAAACUAUAUGUCGUUGGACACUGCAGCAAUGGUACAAUAAGAUUAAAUUUAUGUAGCUUUUACAUUCUUUGUGGUAAAAUUUACAAUUUGUUUAUGGUGCAAUUUGAUUAUAUAUGUGGUGCAAUUUCAAUUUUUUACGGAGCAAAUAUGGUAUAAUUAUGGAGCAAAUGUUCAUUAUUUAUGGAUAUUUUUAUUAUUUUUUAUGGAGCAAACUUAUUUGUUUAUGGUGUUUUAUUUAAUUUUUUAUUGAUACAAUGUUUCAUUUUUAACUAGAAAUUUUUUUGGUUUACCGCUACAUUUUUAAUUUAUUAUGGAACAUACAUAUUUAUUUAUGGAGAAUGCUGUGCAUUUUAUCGGUACAUUACUUAAUUAUUUAUAAUGCAUUUUUGUUUUUCUAUGGUGCACUUUCGUUAUCUAUGGGUGCAUUAAAUAGGCUGCCGUUCAAGAUCUACCAAACCGAACCCUAGUGACAUCCGGUUUGUCAAGUUGGGGUAAUGUGUUUUGGUAAUAAGGAUUCAUGGUACAAAGUCCUUGUUACUGGUGACAGUUUCAAAAAUUGCAUUUAUUCUGCCUUGCUGAUAGUUAAAGAAUCGGACUUUGCCUACCCGAGACUACACAAACAUGCUUUACGUAUCUGAUUGCGUACUAACCUAUCAAGGACUGUUAAGUUCUGGUAAUUCAAGGACUCACGUGCAUUCUUAUUGCAGAACACAUUCUCUAAUUUGACAGAGUUUUGCAACUAGCCUAAAGUCCCGGGUUUUUCUUUGUUGUCCUGGGACUAAACUAGAAGCAAGUCAUGGAUGGGGCUAGAGUUCCGAUGCAUGGAUAAAUAUCAGUACCACCGUUUUGUUUUUCUCAGAAUGCAAAUGGAUUGUGUUUGAUUAGGGGCGCUCUUUCACUGAGAUUUAAAUCUCUAUGAUAACGGAACCUUUUCAUCGCAAUCGAUUUCUUACACCUCUGGGAUAACAAAACAGGAACUGUACAGAAAUCGAUGCUUCAUUGCCUCUCAAUGACAAUGGAGUAGUACGACAUGCACUAAAUACUAAGGAUACGGGUAAUGCCACAAAAGAUCAAAAUACUGGUUGCAGUGGCUCACCCGAACAGAAAAAAAAAAGGCUUCGCGACUCCGAAUCACAGAAACGACUGGUACGACGGCGAAUGUGAACAGUUGGAAAACGAGAAGAAUGCAGCAUGGGCGAGAAUGCUGCUACACCGUACGAGAGCGAAUGAGGCACGUUACAGUCAGGCGUGGAACAGGCAGAGCUCAGUCUGAGCUGUACCGCGCUAAGGACACACGAAAGUUCUACGAGAAGAGAAGCUGAACCGCUCGCGCAGAGGCUUUGUGCCACAAGCCGACAUGUGCCGAGAUAAUCCUGGAGGAUUUUUCGGGGAAAUUUUUGGGGAAAUUUUCGAAAAAUUCUUGAAGAAAUUUCCAAGGAUCCCAAGGAGCUUCUGAAAGAGCGUACUCCUGGAGGAACUCCCGGGAAAUUAUGAGAAACUCCUUGAAAAAUUCCCAAUGAUCACAUGGAGAAACUCGCGCGGAUCUUCUGGAUAAAUAGAGCUACUUCGGCACUGCAGUCUUGGGGAAUUAAAACGAUAGUUUUAGAUUUUUCCCAACGUUUCGACUCGUAUUAGAGUCUUCUUCAGGGGAUACUGUAAUUAUGGGAAUCAUUAUUGUGUGGGUUACAUGUUUCGAUAGUUCACUUACAUUCUGAUUAAUCGUUUUUCGUUUGGGUUGACAUAGAACUGUCGGUGUCUAAACUAUUGAACAUUGGCUGUAAACAGGCAUAAACAAUGUUUAGUUUCACAUAUUAUUCUAAAAGUGGUUUGAAUUAGACCUACAUGUGGGAUAUUAAGUGAAACGUAGCGAGUUUUGUUAAUUUCACUUAAUGAAGCAACUAAAUUCUUCGCACUACACAUCUGGUGGAGGUAACGGUUGGUUUGAAGAUGGUGGAUCAUUAGUUGUUUGAUGGGUUUGAAAUGUUUCGCAAAAGGUUUGUAAUGAACAUUGGCUGUAAACAGGCAUAAACAAUAGUUUAGACACCGACAGUUCUAUGUCAACCCAAACGAAAAACGAUUAAUCAGAAUUAUCCCCUGAAGAAGACUCUAAUACGAGUCGAAACGUUGGGAAAAAUCUAAAA
Long non-coding RNA from Aedes albopictus (Asian tiger mosquito), 6816 nucleotides. RefSeq lists it as uncharacterized. The record is from RefSeq and is a predicted model, not a curated record. Lineage: Eukaryota; Metazoa; Arthropoda; Insecta; Diptera; Culicidae. The transcript is spliced from 2 exons.